AUACGGAGGUAGAGCACUGAAUGUCCUAGGGGGUAUUGCACCUACCGAAGACUAUCAAACUCCGAAUGCCGUCAUCUUAUACUUUGGAGUCAGACUGUGGGUGAUAAGAUUCAUAGUCGAAAGGUCAACAGCCCAGAUCGUCAGCUAAGGUCCCUAAAUGUAAGUUAAGCGGUAAAGGAUGUGGCAUUGCACAGACAACCAGGAUGUUGGCUUAGAAGCAGCCACUCCUUCAAAGAGUGCGUAAUAGCUCACUGGUCGAGUGAUCCUGCGCCGACGAUUUCCGGGGCUAAAACUUACUCCCGAAGCUACGGCCUCAGUACUGAUGGGUAGGGGAGCUUCGCAUACGGGUGUAAGCCUGACCGUCAAGACAUGUGGCCCGUAUGGGAGUGAGAAUGUGGGCAUGAGUAGGGCGUCGUGGUGGGAGAA
Molecule: ribosomal RNA, 426 nt
Filed under: Clostridioides difficile
Lineage: Bacteria; Bacillati; Bacillota; Clostridia; Peptostreptococcales; Peptostreptococcaceae
Description: bacterial LSU rRNA
Rfam family: Bacterial large subunit ribosomal RNA
Source: RNAcentral